Molecule: RNase P RNA, 397 nt
Filed under: Gracilibacillus halophilus YIM-C55.5
Lineage: Bacteria; Bacillati; Bacillota; Bacilli; Caryophanales; Bacillaceae
Description: Bacterial RNase P class B
Rfam family: Bacterial RNase P class B
About the family: Ribonuclease P (RNase P) is a ubiquitous endoribonuclease, found in archaea, bacteria and eukarya as well as chloroplasts and mitochondria. Its best characterised activity is the generation of mature 5'-ends of tRNAs by cleaving the 5'-leader elements of precursor-tRNAs.
Source: Rfam by way of RNAcentral
GAUGUCUCGUAAUCGCUGCACAGUGAUUUGUGUAGAGGAAAGUCCAUGCUCACACAUGCUGAGAUGCUUGUAGUGUUCGUGCUUGACGAAACCAUAAGUCAAGGUAACCUUCUUCGAAAAGGUUAACGGCAGGAAAAAUACCUGUGUCCUAAUGGGAUAUGGUAUGAAUACUUUGAAAGUGCCACAGUGACGAAGCUAAAUAGGAAACUAUUUAGGUGGAACGCGGUAAACCCCUCGAGUGAGCAACCCAAAUAUUGGUAGGGGCACCUUCUAUUAGGGAAAUCAACCGAAUGAAGGACAAGCAUUGUUUCGAUGCUUGUAGACAGAUGAUUACGCCUAUCCGUACGAGGCUGACCACCGCUAGAUAGUACGAUAGGACAGAACAUGGCUUACAGAC